UACGUAGGUGGCAAGCGUUGUUCGGAAUUAUUGGGCGUAAAGGGUGCGUAGGCGGUCGGGUAAGUCUGACGUGAAAUCUCCGGGCCUAACCCGGAAACUGCGUCGGAUACUAUCCGGCUAGAGGAUUGGAAGGGAGACUGGAAUACUUGGUGUAGCAGUGAAAUGCGUAGAUAUCAAGUGGAACACCAGUGGCGAAGGCGAGUCUCUGGACAAUUCCUGACGCUGAGGCACGAAAGCCAGGGGAGCAAACGGG
Molecule: ribosomal RNA, 253 nt
Filed under: uncultured bacterium
Lineage: Bacteria
Description: partial 16S ribosomal RNA
Rfam family: Bacterial small subunit ribosomal RNA
Source: RNAcentral